AUUGAACGUUGGCGGCAUGCCUAACACAUGCAAGUCGAACGGUAACGACGGGAGCUUGCUCCCGGGCGACGAGUGGCGGACGGGUGAGUAAUACUUAGGAAUCUGCCCAGUAUGGGGGGACAACAUUCGGAAACGGAUGCUAAUACCGCAUACGCCCUACGGGGGAAANCGGGGGAUCUUCGGACCUGUCACUGCCAGAUGAGCCUGCGUUAGAUUAGCUUGUUGGUGGGGUAAUGGCCUACCAAGGCGACGAUCUAUAGCUGGUCUGAGAGGAUGAUCAGCCACACUGGGACUGAGACACGGCCCAGACUCCUACGGGAGGCAGCAGUGGGGAAUAUUGGACAAUGGGCGCAAGCCUGAUCCAGCAAUGCCGCGUGUGUGAAGAAGGCCUUAGGGUUGUAAAGCACUUUCAAUUGGGAAGAAAAGCACAGGAUUAAUACCCCUGUGUCUUGACGGUACCUUUACAAGAAGCACCGGCUAACUCCGUG
RNAcentral lists this ribosomal RNA (488 nucleotides) under uncultured bacterium. RNAcentral describes it as "bacterial SSU rRNA". It matches the Rfam family "Bacterial small subunit ribosomal RNA", at positions 30 to 507 of the family's 1533-position model. The record is from RNAcentral.